Molecule: ribosomal RNA, 666 nt
Filed under: Triticum aestivum (bread wheat)
Lineage: Eukaryota; Viridiplantae; Streptophyta; Magnoliopsida; Poales; Poaceae
Description: partial small subunit ribosomal RNA
Source: RNAcentral
AUGUACAUGGUCACCAUCUCGGACUUGUCUGCGCCGUCUCUGCAUUUUCCGCUGCUCAAAGACCAUUGUAUGGGGACUGUCCGGGUAAUCCGAGCACCUAAGCUGCAGGUAUUUGGUUUGGUGUCAAAGGGCAUAUCCAAACUCCACAUUGGAACCACGGUUUUUCAGGAAAUGAUUGCCAUCAGCGUGACAACCGCAAUGCGCACCGUGAAGGUUUUGGUUAUCGAAUCUGUUGGCCCUAAUUUUGAUGCGGUAAUUGGCUUCCUCAAGUGCUUCCCUUGCUUGGAGAGGCUGUAUGUCAUUUCGCGCCAAUGCAAUGAGAUGAAAAAUGUGCUAAAAUAUGACCCACUGGAUCCAAUUGAAUGCCUCGAACUCCAUCUCAAAAGAGUGGCGCCGGAGAACUACUUUGGCAACAUGGCAGAUGUUGACUUCGCCAAAUUUUUCGUUUUGAAUGCGAAAGUGCUAGAACAAAUGAACUUCGCAGUACCUACUUGCCACCGCAACGACAAAUGGAGGUCUGACCAACACAAGCUGUUACAAGUGGACAACAGAGCUUCUUCGGAUGCUCGAUUUGAAUUCACAAGUGGUUAUGGGUAUAAUGGCAUCGAUGACAAGCAUACCCAUGAUUUAUCAAUGGCCGACCCCUUUGGGAGAACCUUGCUUUGA